GACGAACGCUGGCGGCGUGCUUAACACAUGCAAGUCGAACGAAGAGCGAUGGAAGCUUGCUUCUAUCAAUCUUAGUGGCGAACGGGUGAGUAACGCGUAAUCAACCUGCCCUUCAGAGGGGGACAACAGUUGGAAACGACUGCUAAUACCGCAUACGAUCUAAUCUCGGCAUCGAGGAUAGAUGAAAGGUGGCCUCUACAUGUAAGCUAUCACUGAAGGAGGGGAUUGCGUCUGAUUAGCUAGUUGGAGGGGUAACGGCCCACCAAGGCGAUGAUCAGUAGCCGGUCUGAGAGGAUGAACGGCCACAUUGGGACUGAGACACGGCCCAGACUCCUACGGGAGGCAGCAGUGGGGAAUCUUCCGCAAUGGACGAAAGUCUGACGGAGCAACGCCGCGUGAGCGAUGACGGCCUUCGGGUUGUAAAGCUCUGUUAAUCGGGACGAAAGGCCUUCUUGCGAAUAGUGAGAAGGAUUGACGGUACCGGAAUAGAAAGCCGCGGCUAACUACGUG
RNAcentral lists this ribosomal RNA (510 nucleotides) under uncultured bacterium. RNAcentral describes it as "partial 16S ribosomal RNA". It matches the Rfam family "Bacterial small subunit ribosomal RNA", at positions 28 to 507 of the family's 1533-position model. The record is from RNAcentral.